This 253-nucleotide ribosomal RNA is filed under the name uncultured bacterium. Its description in RNAcentral is "partial 16S ribosomal RNA". It matches the Rfam family "Bacterial small subunit ribosomal RNA", at positions 524 to 776 of the family's 1533-position model. The record is from RNAcentral.
UACGAGAGGCCCAAACGUUAUUCGGAUUUACUGGGCUUAAAGAGUUCGUAGGCGGCGCAGAAAGUAGGGUGUGAAAGCCCUCGGCUCAACCGAGGAAUUGCGCUCUAAACUACUGUGCUCGAGGAACCUAGAGGUGAGCGGAACUGAUGGUGGAGCGGUGAAAUGCGUUGAUAUCAUCAGGAACACCGGAGGCGAAGGCGGCUCACUGGGGGUUAUCUGACGCUCAGGUGCGAAAGCUAGGGGAGCGAACAGG